UACGUAGGGUGCAAGCGUUAAUCGGAAUUACUGGGCGUAAAGCGUGCGCAGGCGGUGAUGUAAGACAGAUGUGAAAUCCCCGGGCUCAACCUGGGAACUGCAUUUGUGACUGCAUCGCUGGAGUACGGUAGAGGGGGAUGGAAUUCCGCGUGUAGCAGUGAAAUGCGUAGAUAUGCGGAGGAACACCGAUGGCGAAGGCAAUCCCCUGGGCCGGUACUGACGCUCAGGCACGAAAGCGUGGGGAGCAAACAGG
This 253-nucleotide ribosomal RNA is filed under the name uncultured bacterium. RNAcentral describes it as "partial 16S ribosomal RNA". It matches the Rfam family "Bacterial small subunit ribosomal RNA", at positions 524 to 776 of the family's 1533-position model. The record is from RNAcentral.